CGGGUGAGUAACACGUAUGCAACCUGCCUGCCACAGCCGGAGUAAUCGGGAGAAAUUCCGUCUAAUACGGCAUAAUGCAUCGACGGGACAUCCUGUUGGUGCCAAAGGUUGAUUCCGGUGGCGGAUGGGCAUGCGUCGCAUUAGUUAGUUGGCGGUGUAACGGACCACCAAGACGACGAUGCGUAGGGGUUCUGAGAGGAAGGUCCCCCCACAUUGGAACUGAGACACGGUCCAAACUCCUACGGGAGGCAGCAG
This 255-nucleotide ribosomal RNA is filed under the name uncultured bacterium. RNAcentral describes it as "partial 16S ribosomal RNA". It matches the Rfam family "Bacterial small subunit ribosomal RNA", at positions 103 to 354 of the family's 1533-position model. The record is from RNAcentral.